AUGCCAUGAUGAGGACAUCUUCUCAGGAGUUCCUUAAACCGUUCCCAAGCUUCAUACAGUGACUCCCCAUCAUUCUGUGCCAUCUUCACAGAAUUCUGGGCCU
This is a small nucleolar RNA of Humulus lupulus (European hop), 103 nucleotides long. Lineage: Eukaryota; Viridiplantae; Streptophyta; Magnoliopsida; Rosales; Cannabaceae. The record is from RefSeq and is a predicted model, not a curated record.